UUUCUUUCUUUCUUUUUCAAUAAUCGAUUAAUUUCUUCAAUCUCUACGACUCGAGGGAUCGAAUCCACUCCCGACGAAUUUAUUUACUUCUUUAAUUAUCCCAUUAUCAUUUCGACGAGCCGUAAUUACCUCGUUAACUUCUAAUGAACUUCAAUCUGUAUCGCAAAGAGGCGAUUUUAUUCCUCCUCUCGAUCGAUACGAUACAGUCCUCGUAUCGUUUCUUUAACCGCCUCUCAUUUUCUAACUUUCCCUCGCCCCCCGUAUCCCGCAUUUCGAAAUUAACAAUUCAAACCAUCUGCCCGCCCAUAAUCGCCUGCCGUCUGCUGCCGGGUUUUAUCUAAUCAUUGACGUACUUAUAAUAUCAUUUCCGUCGUUUUGUUUAAUUUGCACUUGCCUCUGCUCGUUUCUACGACUCGAUUCUCAUAUCCCUCGAAUUUUUUCGCUCUUUUUUUUCUUUUUUUUUUUUUCCCUCCCUCCCCCCUCCUUUUUUUCUGCGUAUUAUUCUAACGGCUUAUCGCGUCUACGUUUCUCCUUCUACGUGGCUCCUCGUUUGCUUUCCGAUAAAACUCUCUCUUCCCUCUCGAUUUUCCCUAACGCUUAUAUUCGCAAGAAAUUUCUAUUUGGUAUUCAAACGGAGGGGCUCCAUCGACAACAAACAGGCCACUCUCCAUCGAUCCCAUCGCGGAAUCGAAAUCCGGAAGAGGAGAGGAUUCGGAUUCGGCUCGAUACCUCGAUCGAUCCCUCGUUCUUCAUUGUGAUGGUGAGAGACGUGUCUUCUUCUCGGGCUUACCGAUCUAUUUAUUCCGCUUUAUUCCCCCCCCCCAUUCUAUACCCAUUUUAUACGCGUUGACAAACUGUCCCGUCCAAUUUACAGGUUUCCACGCUGUUUUUCCAGCGGUAGUUUAUGGGCAAAGUUCGCCAUCUUAGAUACACGAACGAUUUCUUUUUAGCCUUGCAUCGGUGAAAAGUGUUCGAAUCGUACGCGAUAAAAAUCGUUUCAGGACGCGUUGUCACACGUUUGUACGCCAUUUACGAUAAGAGGAGAAGUAAGGAAGAUUUUCGUUUCAUGAAUUCACAUCGACUCUCUCAUAAUAAAUAUUAAAAAUUCACUUUUGUUGUAAUUAAGUUAGAGGUCGGAUAUCUUCUCUUUCUUUCGUGCCCGUUCGUAGCCGAAAAAUGAGACAACGGCAAGACAAUUGCGUAAUAGCCUUAUAAAUUUCGUCCCUAUUAUCGUCCAUCAUAUCUUUAAUAAUCAUAAAGAAAUCGUUACGGAUCCCUUUAUCCCCAAUCUCACGAAUUACGCCCCAUCAAACGCUAGUAACCAGAUAUUUCUGGAUACAGCGUUCCUCCUGCUGUUGUGCGUACUCCUCUCUUCAAACUUCCAACAACGAAAAUCAAUCGAAUCGAUCGAGAAAUUAUCGUGUAACUCGAAGAUGAGAGGAUAGAGAUCGAUCGAGUCGAAUCGAGUCUCCUCCUCCAAUACUCGAACCGAUACUUGAACUGCCAUCAUCCUUUUCGAGGAUCAGGCUGGAUCAUGCAACGCCCUUAGUAAGAGACGUUGCUCGAUCCGAGCAACGAGACCAGUCACGGACGCUGGCAAUAAGUUUGAUUGGGCUAACAAAUUGUCACUCCCGUCUCGAGGAGGAAGAGGCGACGUUCACCACUCCACUUCUUCGUAAUAGGCAAUUGCGGUUGGCGCACUGGAAUCGGUCGUGUCCUAAGUAAAUAAUAAAAUCGUUCCUCGCUCGAGCCAACCAGUCCAUCGUGCGACACGUGUUCAUACGGAUCAUCAUUCGUUCGUUCGUUCGUUCGGCUCGUCCCUGUUGGAAAAUUGCGGAUCGGUUCUCCCUCCCUCUUCUUCUCGCUUCGUGUAUGAAAUUUCACGUAGCGUUUGGUGAAUAAUUCAACGAGCUCGAAGGGCUAUAUUCGAUGCCCUUCGACGAGGAGUCGAACGUUAGGAUCUCGAAUGUGUUCGUUUUAUUGCAUUGAUUUCUUCCGUACAUUUUUCUUUUCUUUCUCUUUCAACUAUUACUAAUAAUAGUAAUAAUACUUUCGACUCGCCAACGUUUGUGAGUUAUCGGUGUUUUUUUAACGACGUCGUAAAGAGACAGAUAUUAACCUUGAUGAGAAACGGAGGAGUGUGGGAGGUGAUCUCAGUUUAUAUCGGAGGAGAGUAGUGUGGUAUAGUUGGAGAUGUUGAAAAUUGUUAUCCUCUUAAUCCGUUUAUGGAGAGAAAUGUUGAUCGUGUUUCCGUUGAAAGAAAGGCUGCUACGGGGGUGGAAUUAAAUCGUCCUUAUAUACACGUGAAAAUACUCGUCGAUUUUUCAGCUUUAUCGAACCAAAGAGAGGUAGCCGAAUGGGAGGUAUCCCGAAGGAGAAAGGAAUCCGAAAGUCUUCCAUUGCCAAAGAAAUACGAAUGUAAUAUAUAAAUUUAUACAAAACGAUCGAGGAAUAUAUACUUUAUCGUUCCUUCCCAAAGUUCAACGAAAAAAAAGAAAUAACGCUCGAUAGAGUAGUUUGCGCGAGUGGAACGUGAUUAGAUUGGAUAAAAUUUGAGAAAAAAAAAAGGAAAAAAGAAAAACUCGGGGACAAGAGACUGUAGGUGGCAAAAGGCAGCAUCGAUCGGCGAAACGUGGAAAGCUCCUCCAGAUGAAAUUUCGCAAAUUGUCCACGUCCAGUCCGAAAAUGGAAUUGCUCUCGAGGCGGUCGUCGAGCGACAGGAUGUCGACCUUGAAACGGUCGAGGUCCUUUCGAGCAUCGAUGAAGCUGAUGUCGAAGCUACGUAGCAGGGCGAGCAUGCGUUUGAACGGCGGUUUCGAUCUGUCACCGACCAGUUUGCAACAUUCGAAAAGGAAACGGGAGAAAUUGAGCCUGGUGGAGGAGGGGGUCGUCUCGACCCCCGCCAACAACAACAACAACAACAACACCACCACCAUCAUCGAUCCUUCCUUCGAGAAUCGUCCUUCGAGGAUAAUCGAGGAUAACGACACUCUUGUUCCUCAGGGCGACCGCCUCUCGUCGACCCUCGAGUUCGAGUCGCGGAAGAUCGCCAAGGAGUUGAGCAAAUUGUGCCUUACAGACCUGACGACGGAGAAAAGUCGCCGAGGGAAGAGCAGCGACGAGAUCUCGCCCAAAGUGACGACGCGGAAUAUAUUUCGUUGGAGGAGGAGCAACGGGGAGGUGGAGGAGGAGAGCGAGGGGAAAAAGCGCCCCCCUUUGCCAUGGACCGCCACCGGUGGCCACGAGAACCCUACUUUUCGCCUGGACGCCUCCCUCGACUCGUCCAUGUCCGCUUUCCUCUUCGAAUCCGAGAAUUCGGAUCGCGUUGCGAACGAUCACUGCAAGGACGAGACAGGAUAUUUGGAAGAGCGUUGGCCGGAUGACGCUCCGUUCACGGCUGAUUCGAAGAACGACGAAGCGAGGAAGGGGCGAGAAUCGGAGGAGGUCGACGACGACGACGACGAUUGUCGAGCGAACGAAUCGGAGCGCGAUGAGAGUAAACGGGGCUUGUUCACCGGCGCCAAGGCGAGAAGUUUGUCGGUGAACGACGUGGUGCUGCGGGACGAGGAGGUGGCGAGCAGCUUGGUGUUGAACAGCUUGGUGGACGACGUCGGGGACGCGUCGAAGGGGACGCGCAAGUCCCAGUCGGAGAAAAUUAGGAAAACGUCGGUUUGCUCGUCCAAGUCGUGCAGGAUCAGGACGGUGGACAAUAUAGCCAACUUUUGGACGAGCGCACGGGGAGGCAGCUUUCGUAGCAAGGUCUCGGUCGGGAGGAAGAAGUCGAUCAAAGAGUCGAGAGAUUCCCACGAUUCUCUGGGGAAUCGGGAUAGGGUACUCGUUACGACCACCUCUGGAUCAAAGCUGUACUCUUUGCAAGGGAUGGAGUUCCUGGAGGGUUUCGGGAAGAAAAAACAGCAGCCUAAUCAACAAUCGAACAAUAUAUCGUCGGUGCACAUCAAUCCCCUUACGGCACAGUCUCUCAACAUACACCUGCAUGCUCUUUUCGCCGCAGUCGAGCAUGGACACCUGGACAAAGCCAGAACGAUUUUAGAGUCGACGGACGUAGACGUGAACAGCGUGAACAGCGACGGCCUGUCACCCCUGGAUGUUGCGGUGCUCAGCAACAAUAGGCCGCUUGCAAAAAUGCUGGUCGCGUUCGGCGCACAGGAGGGUAACCAGUUCAAAUCUCCGGAGUCCCUGGGCAGUCAUUUGGCUUCGUUGCUGUUGGAGGCGGAACACAGAGUUCAAGAACUCGGCGGGAGUACUUCCGGUAGCGGCGGCACAACUCUUCUCGAACCACCGGCCAGUCAUAGAUCAAGCUUCUCGUCGCAGCACAACAACCUCACGGGAUGCGGUGGUAGCGCCGAGGACAAGCAGCUCGCCUUGUGGGAGAGAAGAGCUAGAGCGCUUAGAAAAAUGUUGCUCGGUUUCGAUCAAGCGAGACCGCCAGACAUGCCAUUCUUGGUGGCCGUGGACGUGACGGGAACAAAUUCGGUAACCGUGAGAUUCCAGGAGCCAGAUUCCCACGAUUCUCCUAUCUGCACGAAGUUCAAGGUCCAAUGGAGUAUCAAAGAGGACUUCUCGGUGGUCUGCGGGGAGAGGGAGGUUCUGGAUAUGAAGCAGAGGGAAUGCAGGAUCGACGAUCUGAUUCAGGGGCAGAAGUAUUAUUUUCGAGCGGCUGCUGGCAAUUUAAAGGGUUACAGCAGGUUCAGGAAUUCCACUCCUGCCCACGUAACGCCCAGCAGUUGGAGGGACAUCGAUGGCAGAGUGCCAAGGUUUGCCGGCCGAUUGGAACAAUUGAACACUUUGUUCACCGACAUAAGACGGCCAGAGUACACCCAAGAGACGCCGGCCGUGCAGAGGCGUAAUCACAAGAAGAAGACAACGAUAAAGCAGCUGUUCACGGCGACGAGCAAGUUCCAGAAGAACUUGAGGCGCGGUGUCUUCCUCGCUUGCUUGCUCUACCACGAGGACAAAGUGUUGGUGACGAACGAGGAUUUCUUGCCUGUGAUCGAAGUCGACGAGACUUAUCCUAGCUGUAUUUACAACGAUUUCCACUGGCUCAUGAAAGUUGGUUGCACGUGGGACGAUGUUAAGAUUCUUCGCCAAGACAUGGAGAAAAGUCACAGCAGCUCGACCAAUCACUUCAGGAUAAAACUUUUACAAGCUGCUGCGCAAAUGCAGGCAGCACUAUGUAUACAGGAUCUUGGUCAAUUGUAUCAUAAACCUAUCAGAGAUGUUCAAGGGACUUUGGUCUUCUCUACAGUGAACUAUGUAAAAUCGCCAAAAUUGAUAUCCGUGUUGAACAGCAGAUGGUUGCCACUCAGCAAGGUCACGAAGAAAGUGAUUAUUCACGAAGACAGUAACGUAGCGGACAUUUUAAUAGCCAGUAUACAGGAGCAGAUGACUUACCAUCAAGUUAGCAGUAUCAAAUUGUCGAAGGGACUUUAUCUUGGUUAUUUGAAGAUGCAGAGUAGCGUCGAUCUUAUCCAAGUUGUGGUACCCGCGAAAUCACCUAACGUUUUGCCUCAUUGCAAGAUCCGUGACAAUCCACACGUUUCUGCCGAAGAAUGGGAUUAUUUAAAAAGGAUAACUCGAAUUCACGCAUCAGACGCAUCGGUUAAAGAUUGCGAGGAAAAGGAAAACGUGACGAACGAGUCCCAAGGUACGGAACAGCAAAAGUUGUUUGUCGAUCUGGUCGCUGCCACGGCAAGACGUUUGUUCAAUUACAUGGAAAUUAGCCCCGAGGACUCCUUGCUCCAUCGCCUCUACGACGCUGAAGUUAUCGAUCUGACUCACGAUGUAUCCUUUCUGAUCGCUGUGCCUCCUGCAGAAACCGCUUGUUGCGUCCCUGGAACCAGAGAGAUCCUCCUGCAACGUGGCGAUCUUCUGUCCUUGCCUAUUCAAGUAUUUGAAAUGGUCCAUCUAAAUACUUAUCAGAAGGACGUGAUCAACAGAUACUCGAGAUUAAGUUGCAUUCUGGAACUCGACACGGCGCAAGCCCAAUACAACCACAGAGAGGCUUUCAGCUCUCUCGAGUUGAGCGUGGCGAAGGAUAAAUUGGCCAGGCUGCAGGAUCUUCAGACUCAAGUGAACACCGUGUGGAAAGGAGCCAGAUGGCUCAUAGAUGUGAUCACGUUCGCUAGAGAUCGAGGCUUUUCGCAGCAGAGCGGCUCGUCACAAGUCGGGAUCUCGAUGAAGCAUCUGCUGAGCCUCGACAGGAACAAAAGCAACAAUAACAGCAACAGCCUGAAGAGGAGUUUGCUCCAAUUACCGCCACGAGAUCCCAAGUUGGUUAAAUCUAGUCCAGGUCGAGGCAGUUGGCCAGGGCCUAACAUGUCCAAUUCUUCCUCGAAUCUACUCACCACCGAAUUCAGUAAAAGCGAGCAACAAUUACCCAGUGGCCAGUACAUUCGAAAAGGCAGCAACACCUCCAACGUGUCCACCGGCUCGGAACCCCCAAAGUCCUCCCUACCCAUGAGCAGCGCCAGCAAUCUUAGCAACGCAACCAGCGCCGGAAGCAACAACCAUCUGGUACCGUUGCAGAACACCAGGUUACCGCCCUCCAAAUCCGAGGACACUUUGAUCCUGACGAAAUACAAGCACAGUCCCAGAAACAGGUCGGCCACGAUCACAUCCGCCUCGGCCAGCACCAGCCCUUUGCUCAGCAUCAAGCCCAUCAUCUACGGUGGCUCGCUGUUAAGCGUGUCAACGGCGAUGACGAAUACGACAAGUCUGUUGAGCGUGAGCAACAACACCAAUUCCGACAGUUUGCACUCGCUCAGCAGCGACGAAUAUUCCACGCCUAACUCGAGCGUGUGCAUCAAGAGCGGCCACGCGAAGAGCAAAUCGACCAAACCCACCGCCAGUGUCGCCGCCACGGCGACCGGUUCGUUGGAGAGCCAAUUGGAGGAGGAGAAGGACGAAGCGACGAUGAUGCCGGCUCCUCUGCCAGGCAUUCUUCAGGGAACACAAGUCUAACCCCGAUUGUAGUUAAAAACAGCUCACUUGGUCUUCUAGUGCAGACCGAUGUAGCAGACAUAUGAGUUUACGCGGCCUACGAAACCGGUCUGGCUUCCGGAACCAGCCUCAAAUUACACGUCACCCCGAGGACCACAGCCAGGGAAGUUGUGAAUCUAGUUGUGAAGCAGCUGAACAUGGCGGUAGUUUUAAAAGGGCAAGAGGGCCCCGUUUACACGGCUGACGAGCUGCCAAAUUUUUGUUUGGUGGCCGUGAUUGGUGCUAGGGAGCGUUGCCUGAGGGAUGAUUUCAAACUGCUGCAACUUCAGAACCCCUGGAAAAAGGGUAGAUUGUACGUGAGGCAGAAACAAGACGUCCUUGCGGCCCUUGAGCACAGCAGCAAGCAUACCGCGUAUUUAUAGCAUAAGUAACGAACCAGAAGGAAAGAAACAAAAUGUGAUUUUGCGCGGAUAUCCGUUGUAAUGUUAAGGAACGCUGCGUUUCAUUUAAUAAUUGGCUGGAUCAAAAGCCAAAGAGAUUCACUUUAGCGAUGAUGCAUUCUGUGUCUCUGUGUACAGAUUUAACAUUAGUUAGCUAAAGUUAUUAAAUAUUUCUUUUUCUUCUACGUUUUUCUUUCCCCCCUUUUUCGUUCAUUUUAUAAAUAACAGGAAUAUCAAAAGUACACAGAUCCCCCAAAAAUCGAUUAACGAGACACAGGAUACAUCGAGAGAUGUAAAUAAAAAAACAAACGCUUGGCUACGAGGAAAAAGUUUUCAGUUGUAUCUUUCGAGGCUCUAAAUAAAAUUAACGCGUAAUUAGGUAGGGGGAAUGAGUGGGAGGAAGGACGAUCGUCUUCGAAGGGCGAGAAUUAAAAAAUUGCGCGAAUCCAGAGUACAUUCCAACCAAGUUUCGAUCCGACGUAACUGUAAUUUCACGCUGAUGGAUUAGAAUAGCGUUGCAAGAAAAUAUGAUGGAUAAUACUCAAGGUAUAUCGUAUCGUUAUAUUUUUAGAUAUCGAUCUCAGUGUUUUGCUCGAUAUAUUAUCAUUUUGCACGCGUCUCCUGUUAUAAAUUCGUCAGAUGCUUAAGAGAUCUCAUUGUUAUCCAUACCGUUCGACGUGUCCGACGGGUGAUGCGCAACAUUCAUUUCUUUCUUAUUCUUUAUCGCAAAUUAUCUUUGUUCUUUCGCAAAAUUCCGAUAAAAUAAUAUCUUGGACACGUCGAAUGAAACUGAGAGAGAGAGAGAGAGAGCACAAACUUACUUACGAAGAACAGAAAAUGAUUUUAUAUACGUUAUAUUUUUAAAACUAUCCAAUCGUAUCGAUUUAUUUCAACGUGUAAAUUCCACUUGUCUAAAGCCUUUGAUUCGAAUUUCUUCUCAUUUCAAUCCUUUCUAUUUUCGCGUUCUAUUUUCAUUAUCUCGAUCCGAUGAAAAGAUUUUUCUUCGUUCUUACUUUUCUUCUUUUCUUGGUUUGAAACAACAAUGGGAACAAUGAAGGCGUCCUGAAUAUUAUAAUUGAAAAUCGCUAGAAAUUUAUUAUUAUUAUUAAUAAUGGCGACGACUGGGACAGGACUUACAAUUAAUUAUUAUAAUAUUAAAACAUAGACGAAACGUGAUUCGUAUAAAAGAGGCUUAUAGACUGUUGCGUAGAAAUAAAAGAGAAAGUAUUAUUACGAUUACUAAGAUUUUUAUUCCCGCCGAGAUUGCGAACAGCAUUGUUAAACGAAUGUAUUCCUUAUUCUUUAUUCUUGAAUCCACGUAUUCUAUUACUACAUUGAUUAUUUGUUUCGCGUUCUUCGCGCAACAUGCGAUCUUUCCUGCCUUCUUUGUACAAUUUUUCUUCCUUUCUUUUCGAGCAUUGUACUCCUUUAUUAUUAUUAUUAUUGUUGUUAUUAUUAUCAUCAUUAUUCACUUCUUUGUCAGAGAGGAAAAGCGUGACAAGAUCGAUCUUGUCUUGAUGACUCUUGUCAAAACUCCAGGCACUCGUGGACUUCCUAUUAAGCGACCUAGAAGCGACGCGUUGGUGAUACGAAUACGAUGCAGAGCAGAUUGUAAUAAAAUAUACCCUAAUCGCAUGAUAUCACUGUUCGAUAAUAGCACAAAAUAUUUCACGAUGCUGGGGCAAAGAUUUUUUUUCAUUUAUACGAGUAGUUUUCGAAGAUUAAAGGCACAAAUGUAAAUGUAAAUGCAAGACUCGUUAAGGAAUUGUCUUUUCUGUUGUAUAUUCGAGGAUUGUAGCGUAAGGAGAGUUGUUUGCAUCGCAUAUUGGAUCCGUCCGUUUAUCUCUAAUGAACGAAACGUCAAAAUUGGAUUGCUUUGAGCGCAAUUGAACAAUGGUAUCAUGGGUCGAGGGGCCAUCUAAGUUUAAACGAGAAUAUACAAUGCAGAUAUUUUUUUAUCGAGAAAACAAAAAGAGAGAGAGAGAGAGAGAGAGGUAGGAAGGGAGGAGGAAAUGAAAAAAGAUUUAUACUUAUAUUUUGCCAGAGCGCGUUAGAGAUUUAAUCGAGGAAAAAACGCGAUUCGCGCGGAAAUAUCGAGAAAUCUGUCCGCGCGUCGGGCAGAAGAAGAUAUAGGUAAGCAGAGAUGAAGAUGUGUGCAAUGAGUGGCAAAAAAAAAAAAAAAAUAGAAGAAGAAUGCUGAGAAAGAUCUUAAUAGAACGCUAGAAAAAAAUUUAUUAGCUCUACCUGAGUGUUUAUCGAUGUUGAGUGUAAAAUAAUCAUUAGCAGUUAAGUGUUAUCGUGGGAGGAAAACGAAUUUCGAGACUUGAGAAGCCCCCCCCCUGAUUUUCCUCUCAGACGUCGGGAGUUCCAAAAAAAAAA
RNA transcript from Apis mellifera (honey bee), 9779 nucleotides. RefSeq lists it as uncharacterized. The transcript is spliced from 12 exons. NCBI's taxonomy places the organism in Eukaryota, Metazoa, Arthropoda, Insecta, Hymenoptera, Apidae. The record is from RefSeq and is a predicted model, not a curated record.